GGACUGAAUAAUAAUGACAUGACCAGCAGUUUUCAUUUUGGAGUGUUUUUCAGAGGGUAACCAGUGUUUGGUUGUUUUUUUUUUUAAUUUCUACUGUCUCUUCUAGUUCUCAGAUAUCUGUCUAGUUUUCCUUUAUAAUUUAUUAAUCUUGCCUAGGCUCUUUUACUCAUCAUAGUUUUCAGCAUUCCUGGGUACUUGAAUGUUCUCCACUGUUAAUGUUGCCACUACGUCCACUGCUUUCACUGAACUGAAGUCAGGUCAGCAGAUUCAGGAGAGUGUCUUGAAAGGUUUUCUUUAUAUAGCUGAGCCUGUAAUUUUCAAAUUGGAAAAUGUAAGAAAUAGAAAUUCCGAAAAGAUGAAGACACAGAACAGCCAUCUCUUUAAGGAAGAUCAGCCCCUCACAAAUAAACAUUUGACCUAAAGGCAUGAAUAUAUCCUUAAUACCUUCUGAAAACAUCUUUUACAUACUGCAAAUUCUGGGCAGAAGUAAAGGGAUCCAUGGAAUGUGGAGCACUGCCAUACAUUUAUUCAUUUAUUUACAUGCACACAUAUACAUAUGAUAUAUAUACCCAAAUAUAUAACGUCAGUGCCUAUGUUUUAGUAAUUUUUAUCUCCUUUCCUGUUUUAUAUAUUUUUUAAAUUCUUUUCUAAAAGAAAUGGUUCUCUGUGAGGAGGAAUUCAGAAGGCUGCAGAAAAUCUAGAUAAUACAAAAACAAAAGAUAUUACUAUAGAUAUAAUUUUUAAAAAACAACAGUGCUAAGUGAGAAAAAUAUACUCAUGAAAAAUUACAGCUUCACAUUACAGUUUAUGAAAAAAAUGAUUUUAAAAAGUCCCUCAACAAUUUCCCUACCCUUAUGUUCUAUGAUAGAUAGAUAGAUAGAUAGAUAGAUAGAUAGACAGACAGACAGAUAGAUAGAUUAUGGUUGACAGACAGCAUGUUUAUUUCAAAAAUAAAAUGUUAGGUUUUAAACUCA
RNAcentral lists this long non-coding RNA (974 nucleotides) under Monodelphis domestica (gray short-tailed opossum). RNAcentral's name for it is "lncRNA (ENSMODG00000046678.1)". The record is from RNAcentral. Lineage: Eukaryota; Metazoa; Chordata; Mammalia; Didelphimorphia; Didelphidae.